RNAcentral lists this ribosomal RNA (728 nucleotides) under Jania rubens. RNAcentral describes it as "SSU rRNA". It matches the Rfam family "Eukaryotic small subunit ribosomal RNA", at positions 323 to 1054 of the family's 1831-position model. The record is from RNAcentral. Lineage: Eukaryota; Rhodophyta; Florideophyceae; Corallinales; Corallinaceae.
CGAUGGUAAGGUAGUGUCUUACCAUGGUGGCAACGGGUAACGGACCGUGGGUGCGGGACUCCGGAGAGGGAGCCUGAGAAACGGCUACCACAUCCAAGGAAGGCAGCAGGCGCGUAAAUUACCCAAUCCAGACUCUGGGAGGUAGUGACAAGAAAUAUCAAUAGGGGACCUAUAAGGUCUUCUAAUUGGAAUGAGAACAACCUAAACAGCUUAUCGAGAAUCCAGCAGAGGGCAAGUCUGGUACCAGCAGCCACGAUAAUUCCAGCUCUGUAAGCGUAUACCAAAGUUGUUGCAGUUAAAACGCUCGUAGUCGGAUUUUGGCAGUUACGGAUGUGUACGCGUCGUGCGCGCACUUUGCGGGGACUGCUUUUGUGGGUAUGCGUGGGAUGAGGCAACUUUAUUGUUGAACGUCCCUACGCAACCACUCUUUACUAACAGUAAAUUAACGUGUUCAAAGCAGGCAAUUGCCGUGAAUACAUUAGCAUGGAAUAAUAGAAUAGGACUCUGUCUUAUUUUGUUGGUUUGUUAGGGCUGAGUAAUGAUUAAGAGGGACAGUUGGGGGCAUUUGUAUUCAGGCGCUAGAGGUGAAAUUCUUAGAUUGCUGGAAGACAAACUGCUGCGAAAGCGUCUGCCAAGGAUGUUUUCAUUGAUCAAGAACGAAAGUAAGGGGAUCGAAGACGAUCAGAUACCGUCGUAGUCUUUACUAUAAACGAUGAGGACUGGGGAUC